Molecule: ribosomal RNA, 379 nt
Filed under: uncultured microorganism
Description: bacterial SSU rRNA
Rfam family: Archaeal small subunit ribosomal RNA
Source: RNAcentral
GCGCACCAGGCGCGAAACCUCCGCAAUGCGGGAAACCGCGACGGGGGACCCCGAGUGCCGUGGCAACGCCACGGCUUUUCCGGAGUGUAAAAAGCUCCGGGAAUAAGGGCUGGGCAAGGCCGGUGGCAGCCGCCGCGGUAAUACCGGCGGCCCGAGUGGUGGCCGCUAUUAUUGGGCCUAAAGCGUCCGUAGCCGGGCCCGUAAGUCCCUGGCGAAAUCCCACGGCUCAACCGUGGGGCUUGCUGGGGAUACUGCGGGUCUUGGGACUGGGAGAGGCGGGGGGUACCCCUGGGGUAGGGGUGAAAUCCUAUAAUCCCCAGGGGGACCGCCAGUGGCGAAGGCGCCCCGCUGGAACGGGUCCGACGGUGAGGGACGAAGG